This 74-nucleotide transfer RNA is filed under the name Calumma ambreense. Its description in RNAcentral is "partial tRNA-Leu". It matches the Rfam family "tRNA". From Rfam's summary of the family: Transfer RNA (tRNA) molecules are approximately 80 nucleotides in length. Their secondary structure includes four short double-helical elements and three loops (D, anti-codon, and T loops). Further hydrogen bonds mediate the characteristic L-shaped molecular structure. tRNAs have two regions of fundamental functional importance: the anti-codon, which is responsible for specific mRNA codon recognition, and the 3' end, to which the tRNAs corresponding amino acid is attached (by aminoacyl-tRNA synthetases). tRNAs cope with the degeneracy of the genetic code in two manners: having more than one tRNA (with a specific anti-codon) for a particular amino acid; and 'wobble' base-pairing, i.e. permitting non-standard base-pairing at the 3rd anti-codon position. The record is from RNAcentral. Lineage: Eukaryota; Metazoa; Chordata; Lepidosauria; Squamata; Chamaeleonidae.
ACUUUUAAAGGAAAACAGUCAUCCAAUGGUCUUAGGAACCAAAACUCUUGGUGCAAAUCCAAGUAAAAGUAAUG